Molecule: ribosomal RNA, 458 nt
Filed under: uncultured bacterium
Lineage: Bacteria
Description: partial 16S ribosomal RNA
Rfam family: Bacterial small subunit ribosomal RNA
Source: RNAcentral
CCUACGGGAGGCAGCAGUGGGGAAUAUUGCACAAUGGGGGAAACCCUGAUGCAGCGACGCCGCGUGAGUGAAGAAGCGUUUCGGCGCGUAAAGCUCUGUCAGCGGGGAAGAAACACGGUUCGCGAGAGCCGCUGACGGUACCCGACCAAGAAGCCCCGGCUAACUACGUGCCAGCAGCCGCGGUAAUACGUAGGGGGCAAGCGUUAUCCGGAUGCACUGGGGGUAAAGGGAGCGUAGACGGCGAGACAAGUCUGGAGUGAAAGGCCGGGGCCCAACCCCGGGACUGCUCUGGAAACUGCCUGGCUGGAGUACAGGAGAGGUAAGUGGAAUUCCUAGUGUAGCGGUGAAAUGCGUAGAUAUUAGGAGGAACACUAGUGGCGAAGGCGGCUUACUGGACUGUAACUGACGUUGAGGCUCGAAAGCGUGGGGAGCAAACAGGAUUAGAUACCCCAGUAGUC